CUCCGAGUCAGGAGGAGCGUUCCCGCCUCUGGCAGCAGCCGGGGCUGCGCUGAGGCCCCGCAGGCUUCGGCGCGAAAUUACCUCAGAGCGGUAACGGCUGCUGCCCGCGGUUUGCUCGAAGAGGAGAGACGGUUGCUGAAGACUUUGAGGACACUGCUGAAACCUUUACUACUUCCAUGAAAAUCUUGUGACAGUUUGAAUGCUGGCUAUGCAAGUUUGGGUAGAGCACUCUGAAUUAGCUUACGUUAAACAUGACACUGAACACUGCUAUAUUUCACCAAACCUAUUCUACAGUAAGUAUUAUUAUAAUUGGUUUUUGUCUCCCCAUUACCCCAGAAGGAGAAUCCACCAGAUCCGAAUAGCUCUUUAGGCCAUACAUUUUUUCUCUGCUGAGACCUCUACGUUCUUAGAAAUCCUUCUUAUGUAGAAAUCCUACAUAAAUAAUGUAUUUAUUUUUACACCUAAAGCAGCAAAACUAGACCGCUGGUCAACAUUUACUCAUCUGCCACAAUCCAUUUCAUCCACUAGAUCUGUUCUGCUGAGGUCAUUAUACAGUGCUCACACGGGGUUUCUUAGCACACUACAAGUAUUUCACUUUUUAAAAAAUCUGAUUUCUGUUAAAUAGGAUUCCUCCUCAUCCCUAUCCCCACUUUAUACCUAAUUAUUAAAUUCUUUAGAGAUUUUACGUUUUUGUAUACUAUAGUUUUAAAAAUAAAUUGAUGUUCUUGUGUUUACUUUCAUGAUUAAGUGAUUAUGAAUUAGGUUUUGGAGAAUACAGAAUUGGACAAAAAAUACACUCUCACAUCUAAUACAGGGAAGUGGUCUGGGCUACUCCUCCUAUGAGGUCCUGACUUCUGUACAAACAAAUUUAAUCCUGCGUUUUUAGGAAAAUAUCAGAGGAGCAGCUCAGAGGCAGUAUGCUGUGUAAUGAGAGCCCAGGCUUUGAAAACAAGUAUUCUACAGUCAAAAACAUCCCACGGGAGGGGCACUAAUACCACAAGUUGCAGGACCAAUUGUCAUUUAACUAUUAUGUGAUCUCUCUCAUUUGUAAAAUGCAAGAUAUUUGACAUCUGUAGGUAUCCAUAAUGUUAGAGCCAUUAUGUUCUCAUCUACCACAAAGAGCUAUUUUCUUUGCAAAGAGAUAUUUUACUUGCCUUUCUGUGGAGCAUGCUGGGGCUGCUCGGUGUUUUCCCAUGGCCCCCUGGUGGAGCCUGUGCACUUUUGUCAAGUCUUUUCCCUUUAACUACCCUAAGGAUUGCUAGUAUAUUUGUAUGUUGUGAUGCUUUUGGUCCUUUCUGUUGCAACUGAUAUACUGUGCAAUAUUCUGCACUAAAAUACAGUUAGGACUUGCAUGUUUGUACACAAAGACUAAUGUGAUAUUAUUCUGACAGACUAAAAAUUGUAUUACUGGGGCUAGGUCACUAUAAUCAAGACAGCUUAGCGCAUAAUUUUUGUAUUUAUUUGUAUACAAUAUCAAUAACUGCUUUUAUGUUUCUAUUUUUUAAACUUUAAGCAAAACUAUUUGGACCCAAAUUACUUCACAGCACUCCAUCCCAUUAUGUGCAUUAAACAACUCUCCUUUAAAUAUAAAGCUUAUACAAGAAACCCUUCUAGAAGCCUAGCGUUAGCUUUAGUGCAAGAAGUGUGCAGAUGAAUGCAUUUAUUACUAACAAUAUGCAUCUUUCAUUUAACUGUGAUAGCAAAUUAGAUGGUGCAUGCUGUCAGGCAAUGACUGCAGAAAGAAUCCACAAAGCAAAUCAAAUACAAAAUGAAGGACCUUUUUUAGUGAACUCAAAAGGGCAUCUUUAUAUUUAUAGCCUUUGAAAAUAUUCUUCUUCAUCUGAAACUUGAACAGUUAUUUGAAAAAAUAACUUCAGAACAAAGGGAGACAGCACUGAACUUCAGAUAAUUCACGAAAGGUAUAGUGAAAGUCCCAGUAUACAGAUAAAUAUUUCAGCUUUCACAUUGAAAUUGGAUACUAUUCAAGUUGAUUACAUUCAUUUUAUAUUUAGUCAAGAUCCUUACCCAAUCAUUAAAGAAAAGUGUUAGUGUUCGCCCCAGUGCUGCUUGCUCUAUUUCCGUUGCAUGACAUUGAAGCUUCCUAGAAAAAUAUGCGUCAGAGCAUCCAGAUCAGACUCUUUGGCAUCCAGGCCUUAUCAGAGUCGAGAAGAAAAAAGAAAAGGGGACUGAACUUAGGUAUUACAUGCCAAGGAAGAAAAUCUUUUCUACAGAAUAUAUUAAUUGGGCUAAACUCUCAGAACAGCCUUUGAGUCUAUCACUCCCAAGUCACGGAUCUCUUAACAGCAGCACUGCAGCAUACACUAGGGCACCACCAGGCUGCAUAACAGGGCUCCAGCAAGCACCCAUGCUGCUGCGUGAUGCUCCUCACACAUGGCACCAAGCACAGUGCCAGGCCACUGAUGGCCAGAUGACCACUGAUUCUGUGGACCUACUUGCCCCAUGCUCACCCAGACCCAGUUUUUAAAAAUACUUUGCAACACUGGUAUUUCUCCACUUUCAAAGCAAAGCAGAAAUUGAAGCCGCAUGAAGCUAUGAGCACUAAUCUGCCCACAGGGGUCCCAAGUCAGGUACCAUUAAUGGUGACUAUGAAGAAUGUCCAUUUUGAAUUGACUUGUUCAACAUACAGAAAUUGUGUUGCAGAUUAGAUUUCAGUUUACAAGGACAUAUUUAAGUUUUUUUUAAACCUCCAAGCCACUGUCUCCGUUUCUGUAUUAGCUUUCUUCAUACAGAAUAUCAUUUCCUACUUCUGUAAGAAAGGAGCUAGAGAUCUUACAAACAAAAUCUUAAUUUCCUAUCAUUCACUGUUGAUGAGUCCUAAUUCACAACACCGUGAAAUGCCCAUCUCAUGCACUACAACUGCCACAGAAUUGAACCAGAAAUGCCUAUGUGGAUUAUUAUUUAGUCUUGUACAAAUUUCUAAAAAAACACAAAUUGUUUUUUUAACAGUGGUUAUUUUGCUGAUUACUCUACACAGGAGGUACACUAUCUUCUUCAUUCCGUUCUUUAAAAAAUCUGCUAAGUGCUCGUAAAUGCUCUGACCUCCACCACAAAGUUUCUCCUGUAAAAAAAAGAUUUAGUUUGUAGUGUUCUUUCUUUGUGAUGAAUUAAGAACAAUUUUCUUCUCUGAAUGAAAAGGCUGAACAGUAAUGGCAUUUUUAUUGCUUUAAUCGAUGUCAGAUUGAAAAAGAUACCAACACCCAUUCACAAGUUAACAGGGUAGUUAACACAAUUCCCCAUGCUGUAUCUAAAGGGCAAAAGAUGAAGUUUGGGUCCUUCCUUACAGAACACUAGUUUGUUUAUUUCUCUGUUUUAAAAACACAGUAUAAACAAAAAGGAUUUUGAGUAUGAAUAGAAAGAUGAUUUAAUACUUUAGUUUUAGUUUCCUGUAAGGAUGCAAAUAUUGUUUCUCUGAACACAGCAACAAACCUAAUAAACGAUACUACAAAACCAGUACCAUUAGAAAAUCGCGUCAACGCUAAAAGAGGAAAGAAAUCUUUCAUUGAUUCUAAACCCUACAGAAUCACCAUUACUGGGAGGUUCUGCACCAUACUGCAGCACCAUCUCUUCUGCAAUGCAUUUAAGUCUAUUGUUACUGGAAAUCAUCUGUCAGGGCACACAAGCAUCAACCCUGUCUGAACACUGGUGUCAGUCAAGUCCACAGCUCCCGCGCCCUGCAAUCACUCCAAAACAGCAAAGAACAUUCAGGAAGCAGCAGGGUCAAACGUACGGCUUUUUUCACCCUGUCACUGACCUGCCACGCGACCCUGCACAAGACAUUUUACCUUUUCGUGCAUCAGCUCUCUACCAAGGAUUAAUGAUAUUGACAUUCAACUCUGUGACCUACGCACCCAUUACAAAAGUUCUGAACAAAUAUGUUAUUACCUGUUUUUCUGAACUGCAUUCUACACCUCAGGACAGAGCAUUAUGAAAUACUUUCUCUUCCUUCUGCAUAACUGUUUUGAUUAAACAAAAAUUAGAAAGAUAAAUGGCUAUUUAUUUCCAAUUUAAUGCUUUGUAGAUUUGGAGUGGUUACAUUCAUCUUCUUCCUGCCACUUGCCUCUUUCCUUUCAAAAGCAACUCAUACUAAAGCUAAGAGCACAAUCAAAACGUGCUACUGAUGUGUGGUAUUUUACGGAGUUCUCCACAGGACGCCUUACUAUUAUUAACUGAAUGCUGCCUUUCCUAUGAUAAAGAUAUACUUUCAUAAAUGUUAUUCUUCAAUGCUUGAAUAUAAACUACCAAAAGACUUAUUUGUACUUGGACUUCACCUCUACCUUCCUUAUUUUUCAGAAGAAGUUAGUCUCAUUAUACUUUAAUUUACUGCUCUUAUUCUUUUGAAUGCAAGUUAAUUUAUUUUAAAAUUCUGGUUAAAGAAAAGUAUGUUUUUGACAGUAUGCUUCCUAUUCCUUUUUUUUUUUAAAUUUAUUUUUUAAUUUCUCCUAGUAUUUUCAUAUUCUAAUAACUGAUAGGACAUAUUUAAUCCAUAAAUAUGUACGCUGAAUCAAAAAAAACCCACAAUGUCAACAGACGCACACACAGUUGCUUGAGCUGAAUUUGAACAUUCAAUAGUAAGGACUGAACACCUCUUCAGUGGAAGCAAAUUUUUUGUUAAACUUAGUAAAUUAGGCAUAUACAUCAAGAACAGAACAGUCCCCAUAUUUACCUACUCAGAAAUUAGCAAAACCUAUUAGGUAUCAAAAUUGUGAAACAGACCCCCAAGCAGAUGUUCAUUGUCAGUGAAGUACUAAGAUGCUUGUUUGUUCUCUUUUUAAAAUAAAGGUAAAGCUAUAAAUAAUCAAACCAGAGCUCAGAGGGACUGAACUACCAUCUUCUGGACCACACUUAAAACUAGUAAGCUGCACUACUAGUUUCAGUUACUCCUUUAUUACAGAAAAAUAAAUUUAC
Long non-coding RNA from Cygnus olor (mute swan), 4926 nucleotides. RefSeq lists it as uncharacterized. The transcript has 3 exons. NCBI's taxonomy places the organism in Eukaryota, Metazoa, Chordata, Aves, Anseriformes, Anatidae. The record is from RefSeq and is a predicted model, not a curated record.